UGCCAGCCGCCGCGGUAAUACGGAGGGUGCAAGCGUUGUUCGGAAUUAUUGGGCGUAAAGCGCGUGUAGGCGGUUCGUUAAGUCUGAUGUGAAAGCCCGGGGCUCAACCCCGGAAGUGCAUUGGAAACUGGCGAACUUGAGUACGGGAGAGGAAAGUGGAAUUCCGAGUGUAGGGGUGAAAUCCGUAGAUAUUCGGAGGAACACCAGUGGCGAAGGCGGCUUUCUGGAGCUCUUCUGACGCUGAGGAACGAAAGCUAGGGGAGCGAACGGGAUUAGAUA
Molecule: ribosomal RNA, 279 nt
Filed under: uncultured bacterium
Lineage: Bacteria
Description: partial 16S ribosomal RNA
Rfam family: Bacterial small subunit ribosomal RNA
Source: RNAcentral